This 1039-nucleotide long non-coding RNA is filed under the name Homo sapiens (human). RNAcentral describes it as "HSALNT0176575". Lineage: Eukaryota; Metazoa; Chordata; Mammalia; Primates; Hominidae. The record is from RNAcentral.
CAGAAGUUCGAGACCAGCCUGGCCUCAAACUCUGGUGAAACUCCGUCUCUACUAAAAAUACAAAAAUUAGUUAGGUGUGGUGGUUCACGCCUGUAGUCCCAGCCACUCAGGAGGCUGAAGCAGGAGAACUGCUUUAACCCAGUGGGUGGAGGUUGCAGUGAGCCGAGAUUGUGCCACUGCACUCCAGCCUGGGUGGCAGAGCGAGACUCUGUCUCAAAUAAUAAUAAUAAUAACAAAAGAAAAAAGAAAGUGCUUUGUAGGCUGCAAGUGCACUAUGGGUUAUUAUUCAGAGGCCCGCCUACUAUGGUCUAUUUGAACUGUGCUCUGUGCCAUCUCCCAACUCCUGCCAACUCCACUCCUCUACCCAGACCGAUAAAGACUUAGAACCACUCCCCUGAGCAAACACUCAGAGUGCAAUGACAGAGUGAGAAGCAGGUGGGGGGCUGGGCGCAGUGGCUCACCCCUAAAUUGAAUUUUUAAAAAGUGUUCUAUUUACAGGGAAAAACCCUGGGGGAGUGUCUGUGAAUUCCCUGGGGGAAGGAGAGGGCUGGGGCAGGGCCUGGGCCAGACUCUCCCUUCUCUGGGGAAGGGAAGGGGUGUGGCUCCUCCUUGGGUGUGAACGUGGGUGGGUGCCCAGGCCUGCCCACUCUUGCCAUCCGCCUAGAGCCUGGCCCGGAGCUGGGUGUGGAAGUGGAGGGUAGUGGCUGUGGCUAGAAGUGCCCCAGGCCCCAGCAUGGCACCUCUAGCUUUACAUUCUCUGCGUGUUGGGCUUCUGAGUCAGCGGCUGGGGCGGACAUCCCUGCUGAUGCUUCCGCGAGCAUCCCUGCACUGGGAUUUUCAGAGUCCUCAGAUUCCCAAGAAGGAGAAUACGAAGUUCUCCCUGUUUUAUAGAUGAGGAAACAGAGGCACACUUAAUUACAAGACACUUGCACACUGAAUUGCACACUUAAUUAAAACAGUGGUGUUCCAGACCGUUUGGAGCAGUGAAGCUCUGCCAUCAGGCAAGGGCUGGGUUUGGAUCCUGCCCCUACCACAUGCC